RNAcentral lists this ribosomal RNA (473 nucleotides) under uncultured soil bacterium. RNAcentral's name for it is "bacterial SSU rRNA". It matches the Rfam family "Bacterial small subunit ribosomal RNA", at positions 26 to 518 of the family's 1533-position model. The record is from RNAcentral.
AGGAUGAACGCUAGCGGCGUGCCUAACACAUGCAAGUCGAACGUGAAGGGGUACUUGUACUCCGGAAAGUGGCGGACGGGUGAGUAAGACGUAGAUGACCUGCCUUGGAGUGGGGGAUAACCCUUGGAAACGAUGGCUAAUACCGCAUGAAGUUGUAGGGUUGGGAAACUCGACAACCAAGUUUAGGCGCUUUGAGAGGGGUCUACGGCCGAUUAGCUAGUUGGUGGGGUAAAAGCCUACCAAGGCGAUGAUCGGUAGCUGGUCUGAGAGACGAUCAGCCACACGGGAACUGAGACACGGUCCCGACUCCUACGGGGGGCAGCAGUGAGGAAUAUUCGGCAAUGGGGGGAACCCUGACCGAGCAACGCCGCGUGGAGGAAGACGGUUUUCGGAUUGUAAACUCCUUUUCUGGGGAAGAGGCGAAGGACGGUACCCCGAGGAAUCAGUCACGCUAACACGUGCCAGCAGCCGAC